UUACACAUGAAAAUAAAAGUUGUGUUCUUCUAUACAUAUUGUUCAACAUGUGAUAACUUUAAUGACGGUUACAUAUAACAUGCAAAUAAUUCCAGUUUAGCGUUUGCAAGAUGUAAAAAAAAAAAAAAUCUCUUCAAUCCAUUUCUCCUUUUUCCAAUCUUGUGUAUGACCAAACCCAUUUUGAAAGUACGUUACUAAUGAAAUCCUUCACUGCUGGGAACCUUGCCCCCCCUGUGGCGCAUGAUCUUCUGCAACCGGUGCCGCUGGUGGUUCUCCCUCAUCAGCUGCUCAAUCUCUUUGAGCUCUGGCAGGUGCAGAAGCAGCUGCAGCAGCUCAGACAUCAGAAGCUCCUCCUGCAGUUCUAUCUGCUGCCGGCACUGCAGGUCUAACGGGAUGCCCCUCUUCUUAAACAGCAGGUACUGCUGGUUAUACUCCAGGAACCCCUGCUGAUACUCCUGCAGGCGCUGCAGCAACAGUUGUUGCUCGUGAUCCAGUUGCUUCUUCAUUCUUUUGAUUCCUAUUAUUGUUUGGAUAUUGAUAUUAAACUUUAAAUAACUCAAACAAUGUUUUUUCUUUUCUUUUCUUUUGUUUGUUUGUUUUUCUUUUUUUUCUUUUCUUCUUUUUUUUUUCUGAAGUUUUUGCCUAACAAAAUUGGUAAAAAACCAACAGAAGAUAUAACUCUUCGUUAGAAAGUCAAAAGAGAACACCUAUAUCCACAAGAACACCAGUCAUGGUUAAGAACUGUAGAAUUACUAUUCACACUUGGUAUCUUUUGUUUUAAAAACUGAAUUAUGGUACUUCUGAUUGAAAAAAGUGUUUAGUUGUCCUACAAAGUUUGCUAAACAUGCACUGAGUGGUACAAACGUGCCAAACGUAAGGACCAAGGUUUGGGUUCUAUAUUGCAUUGGUGAGAAGAUAAAGUUGGUUGAGACAUGUCUUCUCAAAGAUGAAUACGUGAGACCACGCAACCAACUCUCCCAUCAUGAUGAGUUCUUAAGUUGUACCGCAUGCAACAAGGUGCGUCACUUUAAACUUAGGACAAGGGAUGCAUGCAAGUUUUACCACUUUGCAACCAGCGGCGGAACUAGCCCACAAAUUUAGGGGUAUCCCAAUUUUUUAUUUUUUAGACCAGAAUUAUCCUUUGUAUAACGGAGACGAAGUUGCGGGGUAUUUUUACACUACGGAAACCGAGUUAAGGGGUAUUUUUACACUACGGAGACGGAGUUGAGGGGUAGCCCGUGUUACCCCUACUAACAUUGUAAGUCCGCCACUGUUUGCAGCUACAAGGGAAAACCGGACAUGCAAUGAUAUGAUAUUGAACAGGUGGUCAUGUGAAGACCUCGAGGAGAGGAGCUCAAGACCACGCAGUGGAUGCCACAAGAAUAGAAAGUGCGAAGGCUGCAGGCAUUAUGUGUGUUUUGGAUGCUAAAUGUGCAGGUUUGAGGACAUAUUGAAAAGAGAAAAUAGAUCAAAUACACAACAUAAGGGUUGAGUUCUAUACUGUCCUCGUACGUGAAUGGACGUGUUGGAUCCGUGCCAAACCUGAUCCGUAGGUAAAUAGCUUGAAUAGUUGUUAAGUUUUUCAUAUUUUCACAAAGUUUUCAAUGAUUUAACUCGAAUUUGAAUCUGAAACUUUCUAGGAUUGUUUAAAACUGAUUUUCACACAAGAUGUUUGAAAAUCAGACGUUUUUUACCGUGAAAACAUCAUGAGUCUGAGAUUUAAAGUUCAAAAGAAGUGUAGAAGAUGAGUAGAAGAAUAAAUGAUGAAAUCAACUGUGAUGAUGCUUGAAAUUGCUU
RNAcentral lists this long non-coding RNA (1797 nucleotides) under Helianthus annuus (common sunflower). Its description in RNAcentral is "hypothetical non coding rna". Lineage: Eukaryota; Viridiplantae; Streptophyta; Magnoliopsida; Asterales; Asteraceae. The record is from RNAcentral.